CUUAAUGUGGCAGAUUAGUGCGAUGAAUUUAAGAUUCAUUUAUAAAGAUUUAUCUUUCAUUAAGA
This 65-nucleotide transfer RNA is filed under the name Velinus nodipes. RNAcentral's name for it is "tRNA-Leu". Lineage: Eukaryota; Metazoa; Arthropoda; Insecta; Hemiptera; Reduviidae. The record is from RNAcentral.